AAAUGGUCAAUUACUUCUUGACAAAGACAUGAUGAACAAAAGAGAGUGGAAGACAAUUAGUAAAUAACGGUAAAAAUAUCAAUUGAAAUGAGAAAGACAAAUUAACAAAUGCAAACGAUGAAAGAAGAAAUUAAUGCGAGGUAGUAAUGAGAGAAGAGUGAAAGGUAAUUUUUCUCAUUAUCUUAACCGAUGAGCAACCCUCACCUGAUUAAGCAAUUAGUAACAUCUAGAUGGCAGUGUUUUUUUAUUGUUAGAUUUUUAUUUUUUGCUUUGUUUUUAUUCUUUGCUUGUCUCAUGAGUUAUUAAAAUUAAGAAGCAAGAAUUAAAGAUAAUUACUUAUUUCAAUUGGAUUAUCAACACAAUCUUGGUUCACCAAUGUGAUCAAUAUGUGUAGGCUUAACCAGUUUUCUGUGAAUCUUUCAUUAGGUUAAACAACCAAACUAACUAAUGGAUUAUUGUCUAUCUCAUCAACAUCGUUUUACAUUAUUGCCUCAAUAGCUGUAUGUCCAUCAAUCAAUUCAUUAGAAUCAAGAGAAUGUUUAAAUGGAUGAUUAACAAGAAGCAAUUACAUGUACGUGGGAACAAGAAAGGAACUAAUUUUCGGACCAAGUAAUUAUAUCAUGGAAAUUGUUUUACAAAUUGAAUAGUUUUAUCUUUACAGUUUUACAAUGUGUUGAAGUUGCUUGUUCACUUGCUUUUUUUGUGUUAGUCGAGACAGAAGACAUCGUAAACUAUCUUCUGAUCGAUUAAUAAUCUUCAAACAUACGCUUACUUCAACCAAAAGGAACCCAAAGGUUACCCAAAGAUUGAACAUUUGUUUCAGGUGAAAAGAUCAGAAAUAUAGCCAAAAAUUUCUGUGUUGGCUUGGAAAUCAAAAUAUUAACAGAGAUGUUCAGAAAGAAUCCAAACAAAACAAAAGAUUAUUCUCGAUGAUUAAUGAAUUGGUAAUGGAGUCAAAGUAAUGGGAAAGGACAAAAAUGAGAUUCGAAAUUGAUCCUGAUUGAAAAAGACUGUUCGACUUUCAAAAACAGAGUUCACCGUAUGAAUCAAGAUAAUGUUUAACAAUCCUUAACCAUGAGACAAGAAAGCAAGGGUCUGGUUGAAACUCACUCUAUUCAACUGAUAAUGGUGAAUGUUUUCAAGGAAUUCUUUUGAAGAAACGAGAUUCUCAAUCAUAACGUUAAAGUAUAUCAACAUUCGAGAGGAAACCUAAAUUGAGCCAAGUAAGCAUCGAUAUCAUCUUGGAAUGCGCUCAUUUUAAAUCAUUUGUGGUACACUAGGAUGGUGAAUAAGAUGAAUGAUCAUGGUGAUGGCAGUGAAAUCUAUCUCCUGUGAAAUGAUCAAAAUAAUCUUUUGAGAAUGAUAAACUAUCUUCUUGAUGUAAACACUCAUGAAUCGUCCAUAUUAACUAAAGAUAAUUCAAAAGAAGCUAUAAUGGUGAAAAAUCUGGAUUUAAUGAGAUGGCUGAUUAUUCAGAAUAGACUGGAGUUUGAAAAAGAUGUAUAUUCUGCAAACCGGGACUAGGCGUUCUAAGAUUUCAAAGGAAUGGCGUUCAUCUAAUGACAAGGGAAUCUAAUUCCAGCUUCAACCUUUUUCAACAUAAUUGUGCAGUUGAUCAUGAAUGAUGCAUUGAAGAAAGUGAAAAUAGUCGAUUGAACAAAAGAAAAUGAAAGAUCGAACGACAUCAGGCUCAGUGUAAAAUACGAUACAUUCUGUUAUUAACAUUGGUAUGGUUAAUUGAUUGGUUAACUUUAUUUAACCUCAGGUGGUUCAGGAUAUUAUGUGAGAAGCAAGUCAGUUACGUUGAUCAAACUGGAUGUUACCCGCCGGGCUUAGUUAAAAAUAUUGGUCACAAUUUGAUAAGAAAGUGUAAUGAUAGAAUAAUCUGUUUAAUAUUUCUAACUCGACCAAAAAAUCUGGUUCAAAUUUCAUUUCAUCUGAGCUCAAUCAAAGAACUGGCAAGAACUUCUAUCUCAUACAUUUUCCAUAUGAUGUAACCCAAGUAACAAUGGAGGAAAUCACAAAGGUCAACACUUUUAACCAGAAGCUAAAAUUUCAACAGAUGGACAUACUUUGAAAGACAUGAAAGAAAUUUGACGACAAUUAUCCAAACAUAAUGAAAAUUGAUGUCAACAAGUGGAAUCAUUUGAACUAUCGAUUGGUAUAAUCGAAUUGGAAGUUGAUAAGAAAAAUCUAGAAAAGAUUUAUCAAGAGAAAACUCGAAGAAAGGUAUUCAAAGUUUCCGAAAUCAAGUUAAUUCAAGUAUAAAACUACAUCAAAUUAAUGGAUCAAAACUCUAAAUCUUGGACAAAGGAAAUUGAUUAAAACACUCGAACAAAUCAAAUCAUUCAAUCAACUGACUCUUAAAGCCCAAAUUUACACAACAAAUCAACCAGAGGUGAAAAGAUGAUACGAACGUUGAUUGGCAAUUGACUGGUUCAACAUUGAAAAAUGAAUUUUCCCGGAUUGGAAACAUUUCAAUUCAUUAACAGUAUUUCAAGGGCUCAACUUGUUACACAAUGUAUUACCAUUCAUGCCUGUUGACAUAAAUUGGAAUUGAAUCAAUUAUCUUUUUUACUUGGUUGAUUUGGUUUAUCAACAGCCCAUGCAAUAUAAACUGCAGUUCAUCUGAUUAAACACCUGGCCAGGUCGAAUCAGUUGAUUCGAAAAAAAUGCGUAACAAUUUGAUAAACAGCUAUUCAAUUUGGUGUGUUUAUGUUCCUUUCAGCAAACUGUUAAUAAGAUUAUUAACAAGCAAGUUAUUUUGAUUGCAAAUGCUCUAACUGGAUAUACAUUAUAAAUAGUUAAUUCAAUGUUUAACUUGUUUCAACUCAACGAUGGAACCCAUUUCAAUCAGAAAAUUAACGUAACCUGAUAAUAGGCGAAACCCAAUUUCAUCUCUUGUUCAACCCUCCAUAACCAUUAUGAUUGCUAUGAACCCAGAUGAUCAUAAAUGAUGCUCUGAAGAGAGUGCAAAAAACAAAACGAUUGGACAAGAGGACAGAGAAAAAGGUUCAAAUGCAGAAGCAAACAGAUACAUCAUUAAUGAAGCAAGUUCACUUUCUAUGUGUAUUAUUGAAUUGAGCCGAGUGUUUUUGACGUCAAUAAACUAAAAUGGAUUCCAACUGAAUCAUAACCAUCACCAUCAUUAGUAUUACUCUUGUAUCUUCAAACCAUAAUGGACUUUCACACUAAAUAAUAUCUUCUUUUUUCUUCCUUCUUGUCAAUUUGGUUAUUUAUAUGCUUAACCAUUUUUCUUAAACUAAUGACGAUAAUAAGUUAAUUAGAAAUUCAAGGCUUCAACCAGUAAAUGUAAUCAUCUGCAAAUAAACGCCGGUUUCAACCAUUUCUUGAUA
Molecule: non-coding RNA, 3356 nt
Organism: Tetranychus urticae (two-spotted spider mite)
Lineage: Eukaryota; Metazoa; Arthropoda; Arachnida; Trombidiformes; Tetranychidae
Source: RefSeq, a predicted model, not a curated record